RNAcentral lists this ribosomal RNA (253 nucleotides) under uncultured bacterium. RNAcentral describes it as "partial 16S ribosomal RNA". It matches the Rfam family "Bacterial small subunit ribosomal RNA", at positions 524 to 776 of the family's 1533-position model. The record is from RNAcentral.
UACAGAGGUCUCAAGCGUUGUUCGGAUUCAUUGGGCGUAAAGGGUGCGUAGGUGGUGAGGUAAGUCGGAUGUGAAAUCUCCGAGCUCAACUCGGAAACUGCAUUGGAAACUACCUUGCUAGAGGGUUUGAGGGGGGACUGGAAUACUUGGUGUAGCAGUGAAAUGCGUAGAUAUCAAGUGGAACACCAGUGGCGAAGGCGAGUCCCUGGAAAACUCCUGACACUGAGGCACGAAAGCUAGGGGAGCAAACAGG